RNA transcript from Musa acuminata AAA Group (dessert banana), 3050 nucleotides. RefSeq lists it as uncharacterized. Lineage: Eukaryota; Viridiplantae; Streptophyta; Magnoliopsida; Zingiberales; Musaceae. The record is from RefSeq and is a predicted model, not a curated record. The transcript is spliced from 4 exons.
UUAGCAGUACUCUUUGCUAGUGUGGAAAUUUUGUCUGGCCUUCUGGUUAGCUAAAUUAAGUAGAUGUAUUUUUUGUCAAGGGGGUGUUCUUGUAUAAAAACAAAAUGCAUUGGCGUCACCAUUCGACCCCAAGAAAAAAUUGUGUUAAUGGUAUUAGGUGAAGAAAGUAAACAAGCAAAGCAAAAAGAACCAUUCUAUUAAUCAGAGAGCAUCUCAUGAAUGUCAUGCAACCUCAAGUUCAACUUUGGGAUGAUAAGCCGGAAGGCAAGAGUUCCGAGACCAUCCCGGUCUGUGGCGAUGGGCAAGAACAAGCUCAUCAGCAUCUGCAACACAAAAAUCUGCACUUCAUGAGUGGGGAAUGUGAUCGACCAAAUUUACAUUAUUCGAAUCCAUGUGUCUAUUUUAGCAUCCUACAUCGUGAUCAUGCGCCUUAUCUGAUCACAUUAAUUGCUUCCAUAUCUUUCUUAUCUGAACCCCAGCAAAUUCACGGCUGUGGUGUGUCGGCAGAUAUGCGCUACCGAACGAACGGUCCAAGUCAUGGAACAGAUUCUUCCGGAGGCUAAUCGUAGGCGUUGGCGACGAGGAUCCGCGCCCGCGAAUUGACGCGCAAGUGACGGGCAGCGUGGAGGCCCAAGGAACGGCUGGGGGCCGUCCAACCCCCACUCGUUCCGUGGCGAACGACAUGCACGGCCGUGUGACUAGGAGGGAGACAAGAGCGGGCUAGCGUUCGUCGGAUUGGGCGAGGCCACGUGAACAGCCACGCUCCUUCACGUGAGGGCGGGACGCCGGCCCCACCGGCUGUUGGGAAAACAACAUGUGCUCCUUUUCGUUUGCUUUUCUUAAAAGCUCCAAGACGGAACAGGAGUGGGAAGUCCCUUUCAUUCUCUCCUGAAGCCCUCCUAUUAUAUAUAUGAGCACAAACGAGGCAUCUCUGCCCACAGCUUUGGACAUCAUCUUGUUGAGAGAGAGAGAGAGAGAGAGAGAGAGAGAGAGUUCUUCGGAUGGUAGAGAUAUUUCUGGAGAUCUCCAGAUCUCUCGCAGACAGAGAGAGAGAGAGAGAGUUCUUCGGAUGGUAGAGAGAUUUCUGGAUAUCUCCAGAUCUCUCGCGCAGAGAGAGAGAGAGAGAGAGAGGGAAACGAGUGUUCUUCAGAUGGUAGAGAAAUUUUGUACUACAAAUUAGAGAGUUUCAUAUUUCCACUGCCGAUAUGUUGCAGCCCAAGAUGGUUUCUGAUGGCGGAGGGAGAGGUGUGUCUGUUGUGUGUGUGCGAGAGAAAGGGGAACGUGUGUUGCUCAAAAUGGUUUCAGUUGGCACAGAGACAGAAUGUGUGCUUGUACGAGAGAGAGAGAGAGCGAGAGAGAGAGAGAGGGUAUGCGCGUGCGUGUAAGUGUGUGUGUGGGUGAGUGUGAGAGAGAGAGAGAGAGAGAGCGAGAGAGAGAGAGGGUAUGCGCGUGCGUGUAAGUGUGUGUGUGUGAGUGAGAGAGAGAGAGAGAGAAAGAGAGAGAGAGAGAGAGAGAGAGAGAGAGAGACCUACUGCAAAAAUAUCUUUGAGCCCAAGAUGGUUUCAUAUGGCUGCAUUUGCACCUGCACCUAAAGGGGAGCGGGGUGGCCGUGAAGAAAACGAGUUUACAUCCACCAUGUAGGUGCAGCGGCAAAUGCAACCAUAUGCCAUUUUGGUUUCCUUUCCUACCAUCACACUGCCACCAAAGCACCAAAGGAGGUAACAAAUUGUUUGGGUUUCCCCUCCCCAGAAUCAAGAUCUCCAUCCAGAUUUGUUUUCACAGUACCAAUAAGGGAAAAGACAAGAGCCUAAAACCUCCUUUCUAUGGAGGUUUAGGGGAAGAAAGAGGGACGGAAAGCAAGAGUUAUGCUUAGGCCGAUUUGAGCAGCGGCUAAAUAGAACAGGUUGGAAAAACCAAAACAAACGCCCUCAAUGUUUCACAAGGCUAUACGCUGAGGCUCACUUUGGAGAUCUUUUAGGUUUUGUUUUCCCUUAAUACCUAAGUUGACUGAAGAACUAAUGUUUCUACUCUUUCCUUUCAUUUACGACCACUGUCGGUGUUUGCAUCCUAAAAGAAGUUGAUGCUUACAAACAGAUGGAAUUGACUCAAGUAUCAGAUGCUGCGCGAAGCACCUCGGAAGGUUUUAUAAGGUUUCAUUCGGACAAACUCAAGGGGCCAGUUCUGAUGUGAUAAUGUAGGGGUAGUAUGUAAGAUCUAUGAUAGAUAUGUUAUGUAGUACAUAGCAAUACCGAUAAGCUCAUGAUGCAGAAAAUUAUGAGAGUCCACCUUGUCACACAUCCGGCAGAGUUCUUGCCCAUGUUUCUGAUGGCUUUUCCACAUCGACAAGAACCGACGCUGAGAACAAUGGUUUGUGAUGGUAGAAUGUGGACUCAAACUUUCUCCUGGAAGUCAUAAAACUAGACUCGGUGGAAUGCUCGAAGGAUGAAGGAAUGGCUUGUGAUGGUAGAAUGUGGCAGUCCAGAGACUGGAAAAAGCCGUAUCAUUGCCUGGAGGUUGUCCUGCACGUCACAGUACCGUCGUUGCAUGUUCCACGUGGUCGUGCUUCGGCUGGUGUUGUAGAGUUAGGAAGCUGCUCAAAUGUCUCUGUCGUCCUUAAUGGUGGGAGAAGAUGGACGUCACGUCGCGGCCAACUCGUUGCUGUGAAGACGGCACGGCCAUCGUGCGAUGUCAGUGUUUGGCUUCUCAUAAAAAGAGGGAGAGGUAAGCGGGUUCCAGAUUCCAGAGAGGAAACCAGAAGCCACAGGGAUCCCUGCUGCCUGCCUGCAUGCGUUGUCGUUGAGCGAGCAGCGGAGACAGUGGAUGGGACGUGCAUACUCUCUUUCGAUGUUGGUCAGUGUCCGAUCAUCCAAGACUCCUGUGAAGAUGCCGGUGCUGCACUCAUCCAGAUGAAUAAUUGUAAUAAUAUUUUUUUAUUAUUCCGAUUGUGAUGGAAAAAUCAGAACGCUAAUAGUGGUGGGUGAUGUAGAUCUUUAAAAUCAGGUUUUGUCGAAUUUUAUAUUUUAUUAAUUAUAGAGUAUCUUUUAUAAUUA